AUACGGAGGGAGCGAGCGUUAAUCGGAAUUACUGGGCGUAAAGCGCGCGUAGGCGGCUUUGUAAGUCGGAUGUGAAAGCCCUGGGCUCAACCUGGGAAUUGCAUUCGAUACUGCUUGGCUAGAGUAUGGUAGAGGGUAGUGGAAUUCCUGGUGUAGCGGUGAAAUGCGUAGAUAUCAGGAGGAACAUCAGUGGCGAAGGCAGCUACCUGGACCAAUACUGACGCUAAGGUGCGAAAGCGUGGGGAGCAAACAGGAUUAGAAACCCCGGUAGUCC
Molecule: ribosomal RNA, 274 nt
Filed under: uncultured bacterium
Lineage: Bacteria
Description: partial 16S ribosomal RNA
Rfam family: Bacterial small subunit ribosomal RNA
Source: RNAcentral